CAAAGGAAGUUGACGGGGCCCGCACAAGCGGUGGAGCAUGUGGUUUAAUUCGAUGCAACGCGAAGAACCUUACCUGGUCUUGACAUCCCGGAGACCCUUAGGAAACUAGGGGGUGCUUCCAUCUGGAAGAAUCUGGAGACAGGUGCUGCAUGGCUGUCGUCAGCUCGUGUCGUGAGAUGUUGGGUUAAGUCCCGCAACGAGCGCAACCCUUGCCUUUAGUUGCCAGCAGUUCGGCUGGGCACUCUAAAGGGACUGCCGGUGUUAAACCGGAGGAAGGUGGGGAUGACGUCAAGUCCUCAUGGCCUUUAUGACCAGGGCUACACACGUACUACAAUGGCCGAUACAAAGGGCAGCGACACUGCGAGGUGAAGCCAAUCCCGUAAAAUCGGUCUCAGUCCGGAUUGGAGUCUGCAACUCGACUCCAUGAAGUUGGAAUCGCUAGUAAUCGUGGAUCAGCAUGCCACGGUGAAUACGUUCCCGGGCCUU
Molecule: ribosomal RNA, 486 nt
Filed under: uncultured Desulfobulbus sp.
Lineage: Bacteria; Pseudomonadati; Thermodesulfobacteriota; Desulfobulbia; Desulfobulbales; Desulfobulbaceae
Description: bacterial SSU rRNA
Rfam family: Bacterial small subunit ribosomal RNA
Source: RNAcentral